RNAcentral lists this small RNA (75 nucleotides) under Xanthomonas phaseoli pv. phaseoli. RNAcentral's name for it is "sX9 sRNA". It matches the Rfam family "Xanthomonas sRNA sX9". Lineage: Bacteria; Pseudomonadati; Pseudomonadota; Gammaproteobacteria; Lysobacterales; Lysobacteraceae. The record is from RNAcentral. RNAcentral also lists the same sequence under 1 other name.
AUGGCCAUUACGUACACCCCAGCUCCUGCGCGCCGUCCACACUGCCUGACGACUGCCUGCUAAGUUUUGUUAGUC